AUAAAAAACAAAAAAGAAAAAAAAUAGAAACACCUCGUCGGCGUUUAGAAAGGCGGUUGGGGUUCGGCGGCGGCGGCGGAGGCCGGUGAGUAUCCGCGGCCGCGCGAACCAGUCGCCUGAGCUCCCAGAAGCAUCCGGCGCUGCGGCUCCUCCGUGAUUUGUGUAUUUUUCCCCUUGAAUCCCGCGCCGUCGCGGCCGCCGUGUGCUCUUGCCGCCGGCGAGAAGGGGGGAAAACGCCCGCGGAGAUGUCGGUCCUCAUCGUGACCAGCGUGGGGGACAUCGAGGUGGACCUCCACACCGACAUGUGCCCCCUCACCACCAAGAACUUCCUCAAGCUCUGCAAGAUGAAGUAUUACAAUGGGUGCCUGUUCCACAAGGUGGAGAAGGAUUUCUUGGCACAAACUGGGGACCCAACUGGAACAGGAGCUGGAGGCGAUUCUGUAUACAAGUUCCUUUAUGGUGAUCAAGCUCGAUUUUUUGAUGAUGAGAUCCGACCGGAGCUUAGGCAUUCAAAAAAGGGAACUAUUGCUAUGGCGAGUGCUGGUGAAAAUUGCAAUGCCUCGCAGUUUUAUAUCACCUUGCGGGAUGACGUAGACUACCUUGAUGAUAAACACACAGUGUUCGGCAUGGUUGCUGAAGGCUUUGACACGCUGACAAAGAUUAGUGAAACAUAUGUUGAUGAUAAAGGGAGACCAUUUAAGGACAUCAGGAUUAAACAUACGUAUGUCUUGGAUGAUCCUUUUGACGAUCCUCCUCAGCUCAGUGAACUUAUUCCUGAGAAUUCUCCUGUAGGGAAACCACAGGAUGAGAUUGCAGAAGAGCGCUUAGAGGAUAGCUGGGUCCCUAUGGAUGAAACGGUGGCUCCUGAAGAACUUGAGGAGAUGAUCCGCUCCAAAGAAGCACAUACAAAUGCUGUGAUUCUUGAGAGCGUGGGAGAUAUUCCAGAUGCUGAGAUCAAACCACCAGACAACGUUUUAUUUGUUUGUAAACUCAACCCAGUAACACAAGAUGAAGAUUUAUAUACAAUUUUUUCUCGUUUUGGAACUGUGACAUCUAAGGAACAACUGAGUGACCUAAUUUGCAACAAGGUUCUGGUGUUUUGUGUAAGGCUGAGUUCCAAAUAAUUUGAGACAAAGGAGGCUUGUGAGCGGGCAUUCUUCAAGGUUAGUUGCCUAAAAUCCUGUUUCAUGUGGCAGAUAAAACUUGGUUCUUGUAAUUGUACUUUAUUUCCCUUCAUUACUUAGCAUUUCUUUG
Molecule: long non-coding RNA, 1254 nt
Filed under: Oryza sativa aus subgroup
Lineage: Eukaryota; Viridiplantae; Streptophyta; Magnoliopsida; Poales; Poaceae
Description: lncRNA OsNaBo_06g0025690
Source: RNAcentral